UACGGGGGGAGCAAGCGUUGUUCGGAUUUACUGGGCGUAAAGGGCGCGUAGGCGGUCAGCACAAGUCAGUUGUGAAAUCUCCGGGCUUAACCCGGAAAGGUCAACUGAUACUGUGCGACUAGAGUGCGGAAGGGGCAACUGGAAUUCUCGGUGUAGCGGUGAAAUGCGUAGAUAUCGAGAGGAACACCUGCGGCGAAGGCGGGUUGCUGGGCCGACACUGACGCUGAUGCGCGAAAGCUAGGGGAGCAAACGGG
This 254-nucleotide ribosomal RNA is filed under the name uncultured bacterium. RNAcentral describes it as "partial 16S ribosomal RNA". It matches the Rfam family "Bacterial small subunit ribosomal RNA", at positions 524 to 776 of the family's 1533-position model. The record is from RNAcentral.